UCCUCCUUCCCGCCGCUCAUUGGCCUACAGCCGAGUGGGCUUUUUCCUUUAGGAUUUUUGCAACCUCUCCAUCCUUCCUUGGGGUGCGUGGAGGUCCCUGGCCUCGGUACCCACCCCGCCAGCCAGGUCCAGCUCAUCUCUGGCCACCAGAGCUUCCCAAGAGGUCUUCCUCCUCCGCACAAAAUCCACCUCUUCUUCCUGCUUUCUGAGGGGCUUCCCUCGAUUCUUUUUCCCAACGCAGCUCACAAACCUACCCCACAAAGAGUCACAUUCAGGGCAGCUGGGGACCGCUGGCGAAGCGGGGGAGAAGCAGGUUCAGAUAAAGAAAGGAAAAGGAGAGCCUCCACCCCAGGAAUUCUGCAGUGAGUGCCAGGCCAUGGAGGAAGAGGUUGUGUGCCAGAACUUGUGGGCUUAGAAGAGAGACAAAGGAAAGGUAGGUGACUGAGGGGCUCAUUCAUUCAUUCAAUGACAAAUAUUUGAAUUGCUGCUACAUGCCAGACACUGUGAGGUACAAACAAUGAGAUACAAAGAUUAACCAUUGGUACCUGACCUCAAAGAUCUACGGGUCUUGUGGGAAAGACAACCAAACAGAAAAAUGUCAACCCAGCAUGUGGUAAGUGCUAACAUGGGGGCAAAUGCAAAGUUCUAAGGGGUGAGAAGGCAAGUCACAGAAAGCUUCCCAGAAGAGGUGAUAUCCUAAACUCAGGCUUGAAAGACCAGUAGAAUUGAGGUGAGAAAAGAAAAUGGGGGGAGGGUGUCAGGGGAAAACAAGCAACAUGAACAAAGAUUCUGACAGGAGAGAGCAUGACCCAGUUGGAUGAUGGGAGGUGCAAGUAAGGGUCUCAGGCUGGGGAGUUAGGGAAGCUAAAGCAGCAGAGGUAAGCAAGGGUCAGAUUAUGAGUCCCCAAACCAUGCAAAGGAGCCUGGGGAAGCACUGAAGGAACUUCUAAGCAGAGGGGUGAUAUGAUCUUGUUUGCCCUAUGAAAAUAUCUCUACAGCAACAUUGUGGGGAUUGGCUUGGAGAAGGAAGC
This 1031-nucleotide long non-coding RNA is filed under the name Bos indicus x Bos taurus (hybrid cattle). RNAcentral's name for it is "lncRNA (ENSBIXG00005023730.1)". Lineage: Eukaryota; Metazoa; Chordata; Mammalia; Artiodactyla; Bovidae. The record is from RNAcentral.